Non-coding RNA from Caenorhabditis elegans, 206 nucleotides. NCBI's taxonomy places the organism in Eukaryota, Metazoa, Nematoda, Chromadorea, Rhabditida, Rhabditidae. The record is from Ensembl.
CUCGCUGGUAUCUCUGUUUCUCUAAAUUCUCUCAAGGUCGAAGAGUGUCUAACUCUCACGGAAAAGGCGCAAAUAUUGACUAACGCUUCACGUUUUCUCCAUGUACAGGGCGAAUCGGAAAGAAAAGAGGAUGGCAGCCGCUAACUGAGGCUGCUUCUGCAAGAGGACGAAUUGCACAAUGCGGAUGGGAGCCAGGGUUACGAAAA